This 319-nucleotide ribosomal RNA is filed under the name uncultured eukaryote. RNAcentral's name for it is "partial 18S ribosomal RNA". It matches the Rfam family "Eukaryotic small subunit ribosomal RNA", at positions 1470 to 1796 of the family's 1831-position model. The record is from RNAcentral.
CCCUUAGAUGUUCUGGGCAGCACGCGCGCUACAAUGGUCUUCGCAAACGGAUGCAUUCUCGAAGGAGAAUGCCAAUCUUGGAAUCUAUGCCUUGGUCGGGACAGUUGCUUGCAAUUUUUCGACUCGAACCAGGAAUUCCUUGUAAUCGUGAUUCAUCACAUCACGAUGAAUACGUCCCUGCCCUAUGUACACACCGCCCGUCGCUCCUACCGAUCGAAGAGUUAGGUGAAUUGUUUUGAUCGAUAAGAUUUGACUAUGGUCAACUCUCGUUGUGAAAUUCUGUGAAUCUGACUGUUUAGAGGAAGGAAAAGUCGUAACA